UGUAGCUCUCACAACCAUAUCUACAACUUCUGGUGAUACCCAACGUCCAACGACUAAAGCUCUCACAACAAUAUCUACGACUUCUGGAGAUACUAACCGGCCAACAACUGAAGCUCUCACAACCAUAUCUACAACUUCUGGUGAUACCAAACAGACAACGACUGAAG
Molecule: long non-coding RNA, 167 nt
Organism: Anneissia japonica
Lineage: Eukaryota; Metazoa; Echinodermata; Crinoidea; Comatulida; Comatulidae
Exons: 3
Source: RefSeq, a predicted model, not a curated record